This is a long non-coding RNA of Biomphalaria glabrata, 1715 nucleotides long. RefSeq lists it as uncharacterized. Lineage: Eukaryota; Metazoa; Mollusca; Gastropoda; Planorbidae. The transcript has 4 exons. The record is from RefSeq and is a predicted model, not a curated record.
AACAAGAGAAUGUGAAUCUUUCGAAAGAGGAGUAUGCAAAUAGAAUCUCUCCUAAAGCCUUUCCAAGUUCUUGAAGUGCGCGACUCAGAUGAAGACGCCGCGCGUGAGGUCGGAGGUCUACAGUCAAGAGCUGUGCCGGAUCGAUUUAGGAAAAGUCUUCUGGAGCUUCUGAACAACCAGGCGUACGAAGCAGAUGAGAAAUAAAGAUGGAAAAGAAUAGCACAGAUAAUGAGAACCAGCAAGAUGGAUUCAACAGCCACCUUCCAUUAUCUGUCCAUAUUUACUUUACUAUUGAAACAAUGAAUAAAAAUUAGUACAAGUGUUGCUGCCAUGUUGUUGAAAGAAUUUUAUUUUUCUAAAUUACUUCUGUUCCGACUUGACUUACACUCUUCCUAAACUUGGCACUCGUUCAAGCAUUAAAAAUGUACAAAUUAUAAUUAAUUAUUUCCCAGUUUAAGUGUAUGUGGAAAAUGGUAAUGUUCAAACCUAUUUGAAAUAUAUUGUAAUUGUCACUUUUUUAAAAAUAUGUAACACUCUCGUAAGGGUUGAGAUAUUAUCAUGUUAUGAAAUGUCAGGGGCCGGUCUUAGGGCACUGCAACCUAUGCGGCCGCAGUGGGAUCCGCACUUUCAUAGGCCCACUAGUUGUAAAUUAUUAAAUUAAACCAUUAUAAUUUAUAACAGUGUUUCCAAGGCCUCCUCGUUCCAUAUGCUAGGACAAAUUUGUACAAAUGCACCUUCUUCCCUAGUGCUGUUAGAGCAUGGAAUGGGUUGCCUCAGCUAGCCAGGAAAACCAGUGACGCAGGACGUAAUUAUCUUCUAUUUUGAAGUAACGUCUGCAUUAUAUAAGAAGAAGAAAUUGCAAAGUGUACGAAAAAAAGUCAUGAAAAUCUCCUGAAAUUAUUAUUUUCUGAAAACUCAUAAAAAAUGACCUUAAAAAUAAACAAAAUUUUCAUUUUGGGGUGUCAUUAAAUUUGGAAAACGCCGAUCUCUUAAAAAAAGUAAAUCUACAAGGCAGAUGUGAAUGUUUAUCAGUGUUUUGUUGGAAAACUACCUUCUGUUGUACAUAGCUCGUAAUUUAAUUUGACCGUGAUUUUACACUUAGUAAAAUAUGAAUAAAAUGCAAUGACGAAUUAAUUUUAUUACAUAAAUUCUUAAUUUUCACUUAUUAUCCUUAUCCCUACCCAGACUAGGCCCCGCGCUAGCGGUUUCGCAUAGGGCCCCGCAAUCUACAGGACCGGCCCUGUGAACUGUGUAUAUACUAAAAUUAUGUGUUGAAAAUAUGUAUAGGAUAAUUAGCCAGGCAAGUUUCAUGAUAGAAGAUACUUUAUAGGCCCUUUGUGACGGGGAUAGAUUCAUGAUUGCGUUAAGAUAUUUGAACAAUAAAGAAUCGAAAUCUUCAAUAAGAAUAGAUCUGAAGAUGGAUUGUCGAAAUAUGUUUAAGACUUAUAUUUCAUUUUUACUUAAAUAAGGGAGGUAAUAAUUAUUCGAAUUCUCUAGGAAUUUAAACUAUUUUGUGUAUUGCCUCCCUUUGUAGGAGAAAUAACUGUAAGAAAUUGUUAUUUAGAGUCCAUUGCUAAAAAAAAUUGAGAAUGUUAGUAAAAUGUUUGAUUUUGAAUUAAUUUACUUAAAUAUCUAUUUUGUUUUGUUGUAACAAUGAAGUGUAAAAUCUUGGUUGUAAAAAAAAUGUUACGAAUGAAACAGCAACACUUGCUAAA